GACAGAGGCCUCGAGCGUUAGGCGGAAUCACUGGGCUUAAAGCGUGUGUAGGCGGAUCGUUAAGUACCUUGUGAAAUCCCACGGCUCAACCGUGGAACGGCUGGGUAUACUGGCGGUCUUGGGCCAUUCAGGGGCGACUGGAACAAGCGGUGGAGCGGUGAAAUGCGUAGAUAUCGCUUGGAACGCCGAAGGUGAAAACAGGUCGCUGGGGAUGUGCCGACGCUGAGACACGAAAGCGUGGGGAGCAAACAGG
This 253-nucleotide ribosomal RNA is filed under the name uncultured bacterium. RNAcentral's name for it is "partial 16S ribosomal RNA". It matches the Rfam family "Bacterial small subunit ribosomal RNA", at positions 524 to 776 of the family's 1533-position model. The record is from RNAcentral.